UUAGUUUCUCGGCCUUUUUUGCUAAGAUCAAGUGUAGUAUCUGUUCUUAUCAGUUUAAUAUCUGAUACGAAGGCUAUCGGCCCACUCGAUAUCAAUCUAAUUUUUCAUGGGGAAAAGCCCACGACAAUAGCUUGCUAUUGGGUCUUUGAGCGUCGCCUUCGUUUUGCACUACAGCCAUAGCCUCUAAACGAU
This is a non-coding RNA of Helianthus annuus (common sunflower), 192 nucleotides long. The record is from Rfam. Lineage: Eukaryota; Viridiplantae; Streptophyta; Magnoliopsida; Asterales; Asteraceae.